This 393-nucleotide unclassified non-coding RNA is filed under the name soil metagenome. Its description in RNAcentral is "partial contains 5.8S ribosomal RNA, internal transcribed spacer 2, and large subunit ribosomal RNA". The stretch from base 1 to 123 matches the Rfam family "5.8S ribosomal RNA", at positions 35 to 154 of the family's 154-position model. The record is from RNAcentral.
GAUGAAGAAACGCAGUGAAAUGCGAUACUUGGUGUGAAUUGCUGAAUCCCGUGAACCAUCGAGUCUUUGAACGCAAGUUGCGCCCGAAGCCAUUAGGCCGAGGGCACGCCUGCCUGGGCGUCACACGUCGUUGCCCCCCCCAUCUACUCCUUCGGGAUUGCGGGGGGCGGAUGAUGGUCUCCCGUGCACCUCGUCGCGCGGUUGGCAUAAAUGCCAAGUCCUCGGCGACGCACGCCACGACAAUCGGUGGUUGCGAAACCUCGGUUGCCCGUCGUGUGCGGUCGUCGCGCAUCGAGGGCUCGAAAAAAUUGCCGGGCUCCGGCUCGGCUUUCAACGCGACCCCAGGUCAGGCGGGGUUACCCGCUGAAUUUAAGCAUAUCAAUAAGCGGAGGA